Molecule: ribosomal RNA, 525 nt
Filed under: uncultured bacterium
Lineage: Bacteria
Description: bacterial SSU rRNA
Rfam family: Bacterial small subunit ribosomal RNA
Source: RNAcentral
AUGCAAGUCGAACGGUAACAUGACUAGCUUGCUAGUUGAUGACGAGUGGCGGACGGGUGAGUAACGCGUAGGAAUCUACCCAGUAGCGGGGGAUAAGCCAGAGAAAUUUGGUCUAAUACCGCAUACGCCCUUCGGGGGAAAGCAGGGGAUCUUCGGACCUUGCACUAUUGGAUGAGCCUGCGUGAGAUUAGCUUGUUGGUGAGGUAAUGGCUCACCAAGGCGACGAUCUCUAGCUGGUCUGAGAGGAUGAUCAGCCACACUGGAACUGAGACACGGUCCAGACUCCUACGGGAGGCAGCAGUGGGGAAUAUUGCACAAUGGGCGCAAGCCUGAUGCAGCCAUGCCGCGUGUGUGAAGAAGGCCCUAGGGUUGUAAAGCACUUUCAGCAGUGAGGAAAGGUUAGUAGUUAAUACCUGCUAGCUGUGACGUUAACUGCAGAAGAAGCACCGGCUAACUCCGUGCCAGCAGCCGCGGUAAUACGGAGGGUGCGAGCGUUAAUCGGAAUUACUGGGCGUAAAGCGCGCG